Molecule: ribosomal RNA, 468 nt
Filed under: uncultured bacterium
Lineage: Bacteria
Description: bacterial SSU rRNA
Rfam family: Bacterial small subunit ribosomal RNA
Source: RNAcentral
UCACUCCUACGGGAGGCAGCAGUGGGGGAAUAUUGCACAAUGGGCGCAAGCCUGAUGCAGCCAUGCCGCGUGUGUGAAGAAGGCCUUCGGGUUGUAAAGCACUUUCAGUCGUGAGGAAGGUAGUGUAGUUAAUAGCUGCAUUAUUUGACGUUAGCGACAGAAGAAGCACCGGCUAACUCCGUGCCAGCAGCCGCGGUAAUACGGAGGGUGCGAGCGUUAAUCGGAAUUACUGGGCGUAAAGCGCAUGCAGGUGGUUUGUUAAGUCAGAUGUGAAAGCCCGGGGCUCAACCUCGGAAUAGCAUUUGAAACUGGCAGACUAGAGUACUGUAGAGGGGGUAGAAUUUCAGGUGUAGCGGUGAAAUGCGUAGAGAUCUGAGGGAAUACCGGUGGCGAAGGCGGCCCCCUGGACAGAUACUGACACUCAGAUGCGAAAGCGUGGGGAGCAAACAGGAUUAGAUACCCUGGUAG